GUGACCGCUCACCAAUCUAAAUUAAAUAUAUAACUAUAUUUUCAGAAUGGUGUUUGUCCCUACAAAGGAUGUUGUGUUGAGGAUGUUUGCUGUUACGUUGUUUUGCUGAUGCUAAACUGUUUAUAUUUUAUAUUUUAGCAAGCUGGAAUGCGGUUGCUAGUGUGUUCUGUGCGGUUGCAAAAGUAUUCUGGGUAGUUGUUAGGUGUUUACUUUCUAGCGCAAGAAAAAAAUAAAAAUAAACGUAUCUGAUAUUAUGGUCUCUAGAUAUAACUCGGGUCUCUGCUGUCCACAUAAUCUGAGGAAUCCUUCAUGUACUGUACAUUGCACAAAUGAACUCACCUGAAUAAAUGCAGCCUUCCAGCGCUGUGGAGUCCAGGACCCCCAGGAGCCCUGCAGAAGAGCGAGAGAGAUAAACAGAUAGAAAGAAACCUUCUGGAAAUCCAUCCUUCAUACAUUUAAAACUACUGAGAAAAAAAGGGAAACCAGUGCAUACCAGUUUGAUGCUGAUGCUAAUUUAGACAGGCUGUAUGUAAUGAAGGAUCAUGCUGAGUAUAAAGGAGCAGCUCGGGUCAAAAUUCCCAUGUGUCGACUUUGACAUAUCUGAGGAUCACAUGGCCAUAUGGACACACAAACCCUCUCCUUUACGUGCAA
Molecule: long non-coding RNA, 651 nt
Organism: Onychostoma macrolepis
Lineage: Eukaryota; Metazoa; Chordata; Actinopteri; Cypriniformes; Cyprinidae
Exons: 5
Source: RefSeq, a predicted model, not a curated record